Molecule: long non-coding RNA, 788 nt
Filed under: Sorghum bicolor (sorghum)
Lineage: Eukaryota; Viridiplantae; Streptophyta; Magnoliopsida; Poales; Poaceae
Description: long non-coding RNA (SBIC_LNC013301)
Source: RNAcentral
ACUCCCUCCGUCCAAGAAAAAAACGCAAUUGUAUGACCAGACACGUGGACCAAUGCAAGUGGUGAAAUUAUCUAAAUGCCCCUAUGAUUUGCUGUACACACAUGAAAAAAAAAUCCUACAGUAUUAACCGUCAGAAUGCCCAGUGCCGCCGGACAUGCAUAUUCGGAUAGGAACAAGAAGGUUCGCGAUUACUUUUAUGGGCAAGAUUUCUCUUUUUUUUUAUUAUUUUAUACAAGAGUAGGAUACGUGUCGUGCGGUGGUUUCAUUAGUGGAAGAGUGCAGGCCUAUCCGGCUACUGUUUUGAGCAUUCUUUGCUGGACAAAAUUCAAAUGCUAGGAUUGUGUUAUUUUUUGGACGGAGGGAGUAUGGCCCAACGCCGUGUGUCCUGGUUCCAUGUUGCAGGACAAAACGCGGAUCAAAGACGGGACGGCACAUGAUAUGAUCGUGAGAUGAUUUUUCUCGACCGAGGACAAAAAAUAAGGUCAUGUUUAGUUCAAAAAAAUUUCAGAUUCAUCGUCACAUUAAAUCUUACGGCAUAUACAACACUAAAUAUAGAUUUAAAAAUAACUAAUUGCAUACUGCGAGACAAAUCUUUUGAGCCUAGUUAGUCUAUAAUUGAAUAAUAAUUGUUAAAUUCAAACGAAAAUACUACGGUACACAAAACUAAAAAAUUUUCUAACUAAACAAGGCCUAAAGAAAGAAGAUACAAAACCAUCAACUGAACAGCCCGUCCGAUAAAAGGCGGCACGUGAUCGUGAAGAAAGGGGGUCGUUUUCUCAAUUUGCUGG